RNAcentral lists this long non-coding RNA (624 nucleotides) under Sorghum bicolor (sorghum). RNAcentral's name for it is "long non-coding RNA (SBIC_LNC006165)". The record is from RNAcentral. Lineage: Eukaryota; Viridiplantae; Streptophyta; Magnoliopsida; Poales; Poaceae.
UUAAGCGGCGCUUUACAUCCACUGAGAUGUUCACGGUCAAUGAAUCUUUCCCAAACCCUAUACACAGCCAUUGUGGAUCGUGAACUAAUAAUUACAGAGUCAUAUUAUGAUAUUUUUGUAGCUGAGAUCGACAUUACGUACCUUUGAAUAAUGUUUACCAUUUGUUGAUAAUUUUCUUGUGGUUUUCUCAUUGAGUCAAAGAUUAUCAACCGGUUCUUGGGAAUUUCAAUAACCAUGAGUAUCCAGUGAAAGCUGUUUACACACAUAUAUAUAUAGUCAGUCCUAUAAUGUAAAAUAAAAUAUGCAUGCACUUAAUAACUAUAUAACUCACUCGAAGUUGAAGGGGAAGAGUAUUUUUUGUUUUUCUUUUUGGUUCACAAAGAACCUCAUAAGAUUGGUGCAGACUUCUGUCUCAUGAUCUGCUGUCCACAUUGCCUGCGGAGCCUUGAAAACAAUAUAAGGGUCAACGAACCCAAUACUAUUGUCAUUUCUCAUUCUGAGCUCUCUCAUUUGGUGCCUGCAUAUAUACAUACAAAUCCUAAGUGUGUAAGGAUUAUAUACAUGUAACUAAAGAAGUUAGAAGUAUAAUAAAAAGAAAAAAAUACUUACAGACAAAAGCAGCUG